Molecule: ribosomal RNA, 499 nt
Filed under: uncultured bacterium
Lineage: Bacteria
Description: partial 16S ribosomal RNA
Rfam family: Bacterial small subunit ribosomal RNA
Source: RNAcentral
AUUGAACGCUGGCGGCAUGCUUUACACAUGCAAGUCGAACGGUAACAGGCCGCAAGGUGCUGACGAGUGGCGAACGGGUGAGUAAUGCAUCGGAACGUGCCCAGUCGUGGGGGAUAACGCAGCGAAAGCUGCGCUGAUACCGCAUACGAUCUCUGGAUGAAAGCCGGGGACCGAAAGGCCUCGCGCGAUUGGAGCGGCCGAUGUCAGAUUAGGUAGUUGGUGGGGUAAAGGCCCACCAAGCCAACGAUCUGUAGCUGGUCUGAGAGGACGACCAGCCACACUGGGACUGAGACACGGCCCAGACUCCUACGGGAGGCAGCAGUGGGGAAUUUUGGACAAUGGGCGCAAGCCUGAUCCAGCAAUGCCGCGUGCAGGAAGAAGGCCUUCGGGUUGUAAACUGCUUUUGUACGGAGCGGAAAGGUCUCCUCUAAUACCCAAGAUGAGUGGACGUUACUCGCAGAAUAAGCACCGGCUAACUCUGUGCCAGCCGCUGCCGUAA